RNAcentral lists this ribosomal RNA (253 nucleotides) under uncultured bacterium. RNAcentral describes it as "partial 16S ribosomal RNA". It matches the Rfam family "Bacterial small subunit ribosomal RNA", at positions 524 to 776 of the family's 1533-position model. The record is from RNAcentral.
UACAGAGGGGGCAAGCGUUGUUCGGAAUUACUGGGCGUAAAGCGCACGUAGGCGGAUUUGUAAGUCAGGGGUGAAAUCCCGAGGCUCAACCUCGGAACUGCCUUUGAUACUGCAAAUCUCGAGUCCGGAAGAGGUGAGUGGAAUUCCUAGUGUAGAGGUGAAAUUCGUAGAUACUAGGAAGAACACCAGUGGCGAAGGCGGCUCACUGGUCCGGUACUGACGCUGAGGUGCGAAAGCGUGGGGAGCAAACAGG